This 1053-nucleotide small RNA is filed under the name Pan troglodytes (chimpanzee). RNAcentral describes it as "retained intron". Lineage: Eukaryota; Metazoa; Chordata; Mammalia; Primates; Hominidae. The record is from RNAcentral.
CUUUUCAGUCGGGCGCUGAGUGGUUUUUCGGAUCAUGUCUGGUGGCUCCGCGGAUUAUAACAGCAGAGAACAUGGCGGCCCAGAGGGAAUGGACCCCGAUGGUGUCAUCGAGAGCAACUGGAAUGAGAUUGUUGAUAACUUUGAUGAUAUGAAUUUAAAGGAGUCUCUCCUUCGUGGCAUCUAUGCUUACGGUUUUGAGAAGCCUUCCGCUAUUCAGCAGAGAGCUAUUAUUCCCUGUAUUAAAGGGUAUGAUGUGAUUGCUCAAGCUCAGUCAGGUACUGGCAAGACAGCCACAUUUGCUAUUUCCAUCCUGCAACAGUUGGAGAUUGAGUUCAAGGAGACCCAAGCACUAGUAUUGGCCCCCACCAGAGAACUGGCUCAACAGGUAUUGAUAGUGUAGUUCAAAAAAACUGCUUGCGUGUUGCAUAGGUUUCAGGUUUCACAACUGUGAAGAAUUUAAAACUUAGUAUAAAUUGGUCCUACCAGAUCCCUCCUUUUAAUUGUCCAUGCAUGCAGGGAGUUUUUGUUGAAAGUUUUAAAAGAACUGGGUAUGCAGGUAUGGUUUUUAGGGUUGUAUACUAAUAGAUUGAGAAUCCGAAGCGCUCUCUUGGAUGUACUAGAUCUGUCCCCAUUUUUUAAGUUUGAAUGCAGUUGUGCAACAUGAAAACUGCAGUGACAUGUUACCAUUUGACUGUCUCCGUAGUUUGUGAUGCAUCUGUUGCAUGCUAUGUUUUCAAAGCUCACUGCUAUAUUGGCUUUGAAGUAAACCUUCCUAAUAAAGCUGUAGGCUUUAUUGAGGUCAGGAUUAUAUAAGGCACAAUACCCUCUGGGGGAAAAAAUCAUUUGCCCUAGCUGUAAUUACAGAACAUAAAUUUCACUAGGUACUCCCUACCUACAGUGAAGAAUAAUGUAGGAAACGUUAUUCUUGAAUUGUCUAGCUGAUGGGUGGAGCAGCAGCAUCCCAAGUUUGACAAGGCAUAAGAAAGACAUUAAGAGAAUUUUACCUUGCAGCAGUUAGGUCGUCUGCAUUUUAAGCUUGGAAGUAGUUUUGUG